Molecule: ribosomal RNA, 492 nt
Filed under: uncultured bacterium
Lineage: Bacteria
Description: partial 16S ribosomal RNA
Rfam family: Bacterial small subunit ribosomal RNA
Source: RNAcentral
AGUGAACGCUGGCGGUAGGCCUAACACAUGCAAGUCGAACGGCAGCACAGUAAGAGCUUGCUCUUACGGGUGGCGAGUGGCGGACGGGUGAGGAAUACAUCGGAAUCUACUUUUUCGUGGGGGAUAACGUAGGGAAACUUACGCUAAUACCGCAUACGACCUACGGGUGGAAGCAGGGGAUCUUCGGACCUUGCGCGAUUGAAUGAGCCGAUGUCGGAUUAGCUAGUUGGCGGGGUAAAGGCCCACCAAGGCGACGAUCCGUAGCUGGUCUGAGAGGAUGAUCAGCCACACUGGAACUGAGACACGGUCCAGACUCCUACGGGAGGCAGCAGUGGGGAAUAUUGGACAAUGGGCGCAAGCCUGAUCCAGCAAUACCGCGUGGGUGAAGAAGGCCUUCGGGUUGUAAAGCCCUUUUGUUGGGAAAGAAAAGCAGCAGGUUAAUACCCCGCUGUUCUGACGGUACCCAAAGAAUAAGCACCGGCUAACUUCGUG